Molecule: ribosomal RNA, 711 nt
Filed under: Triticum aestivum (bread wheat)
Lineage: Eukaryota; Viridiplantae; Streptophyta; Magnoliopsida; Poales; Poaceae
Description: partial small subunit ribosomal RNA
Source: RNAcentral
AUGAAACCUUUGUUUAGACCUCCCAACACCAAUGUUCAGACAGUUUCGGAUCUCAUUGACACCGAAAACUGGUCAUGGAAGCAGGAUCUUUUAAGGACAACUUUUAUCGCCCCAGAUGUUGAUGCUAUUCUCAAUAUACCAAUCAGGAGGGGAGGAGGACAGGAUUUUUAUUCUUGGGCCUUUGAACGAUCAGGCAACUACACUGUUAAAUCGACGUAACGUGCUCUAGUGACUCAAAACGAGCAUCUAGCUCUAGAAGAAGGGACGACUACCGGUGCUUCAACGGAUGAUAAACAGAUGUGGACAACCCUAUGGAAACUCAAAGUGAUCCCAAAGGUACGAGUGUUUUGGUGGAGGGUAUUGCGGGGGAUUCUACCUGAUGAAUGUACCCUCAAGCACUGUCACAUCUCAGUUCUAGACACUUGUAAAGUGUGCAUGGAAAGAGAGGAGGAUCUCAUGCAUGCGCUAAUACAAUGCUCCCAUGCACGACAUUUCUGGAGCGAAGCUAGUGCUUGGUUUGAUCUCAGACUCCCUCGACUGCACCCACGCUCGUGGGCCAGAGAUAUACUAUGUGGCGAUCGGAUCAGGGAUGUAGAUCGCACAAAAAUCAUCACCAUCAUGUGGACAAUCUGGCAUUCCCGCAACCGGAUCAAACAUGGGGAAGAGGGGAGAGACCCAACAGUCGCGAUUAGAUCUCCCCGGAGGCCCUAG